GCAGCCGUCGCACAGAUAGGAGCCUUUUCAUUUGCUGUGUUAACCGCGUAUGCAUCGUGGCUGAGCACAGUUGCCGUUCAAUAGGGCGAACUGGAUGCUUUUGUUGUAAUCUGAUGAAAGAAGAUAAAAUGCAGUUCGUGACCACCGAGAUAUACGAGCCUGGAUAGAGGGUAUUGCGAGUUUUGAAGCGAAAUCUGAUGGUAUAAGCUAUGGCGGUCAUAUAUUCGGACUGACUGGAGAUUGUGCAGUUGGCUAAGCCAAACUUCGAGAAAUUGGUGGAGAAAUUUAGUUGGUGACAUAAGUACUAUUUGGGUAGGCUUCAUGAGAAUCGGCAACGGUGCGCAUACCCAUCGAAUGACUACUCAACGUUUCUUGUGAAAUUAUCAGAUAACUGCCAUAUGCAAAAAGUUUGCGUUACACCGUCAACAGGCGAGCACGGCGAUUCUUUUAAUUAUUAGGAAUGAGAUCGCCUUUGACUCCGUAAUUUAUGUUGAAAAUCCCAAGGUAAAGUAAAAAUUGAUUUUUUCGUCGUUGUUUUAUCGAUGGUGAGCUACAAGCCGAUAGUCUUAUAAUAAAGGAUGAUUAGGUUCACUGUACAAACAUUGAUAGUAAUAUAGUCGAACAUUUUGAGCUUGAGUCGAACAUCGUGAGGAAAAACAAGGGACGUAAUUCAGAUUUCUCUGAAGAUCUUUUCAGUAUCUGAUGUAUGAAGCUUAACACUUUUCUGUCCCAAGUUGCAGUACACUACUACCAACUUACGAACUUUUCUUAGGAAACGAUGUGCUUCGCCAGGACACUUCGGCACGGGGUAAUCUAUCUUAUAGUUCUCCGAGCAAACUGGAAUCGCGAAGAUAAACUGCAAUGGUUUUAUGAUGCAGAACAUCUACGUUGAUGGCAGACACAACCGGUGGAAAAUGAAUUCAUGUCUCGCUGAAACUGUAGGUUGGGGAACGGGUUAUCAAGCUGUAGGAUACUAUUGGACGAAUUUACUCUGCUCUACUGCUGUUGCGUGUAAUAGCUACCAUGGAUGUGGCCGAGCUGGGCUGACUGCGGGUUCCCUCAGAUGUAAACGUAGUGGUAGAGGAAUGUGAAUGUACUAGCAGAGUAUCUGUCUCGUAUCUGGAACUGAAAAAGCCUAUCCACGACAUCCGAGGACUUGGUUUUUUAAGGUGCUUUCUCGCCAUCCGUUCGAGUGCCUAUCCGACUCUUCGUUAUCAUUCAACGCAAUUAAAUUUCGAGACAGACGGGAGAACCUUGGGAAAUUUCUCGUAAGGACUCCCCGCCGUGCUGCGGAUCUUUGCCGGUUUUUGGGAAACUUUAUUGAAACACGUGAAACAAAAGGGCGUGCGUUCGUGGAUUCAUGCAUUCGUAACGCCUCACAGAUCGCUAUCUAUCGCGCAAACUAUCUAUAUUGCCUCAACGUCCAUAUUCACCAAGGUUCAUGUUGCGUGUCACUUCGAAAGUUUCAGAAAACGUUUCUGGACGUCAAAUUGAUGAUUGACACAUGCGCAACUGACAGAGCGGAUCAUACGUACUACAUACGUACACAAAGGGCUUUGUUCAGAGGUCUAAUCGUCACCGAUGAGUAGGUGAGUAAUUAACAGAACUUCGUGUAAUGACUUUAGUGAUGAUUCAUCAAGACGGGACCGAUAAUUUUGUGGACAACUUACCCACCUGAGCCAUAGUCAAUGAAAUGUUGAUUCAGAAUGAAAUAUUUCAAGAAUUCUAAUUAUUACUUCUUAAGUCUCCUGAUUUCAGAUAUUAUGGCACAUGAUUGUUGAUUAGGUGCUGUACUAGGAAAGGUAUUAUGGCACAUGAUGGUUGAUUAGGUGCUGUACUAGGAAAGGUAAGCAUUGCGCUUAACUUAAUUGUAACGUACGACACCUCUUAUGACGAAGAACUCACUCCGAAAUAUCAUGUGGACCCACAUACCUACAUUAUCUGAAAAAGCCGGUUUUCAAGUUCAUGGUGGUUUAUAGUGUAUACGUACAAAGUUUUGGUACUUACAGGUGUUGCAACUCAGAAAAUGAAGUCAGCGCCAUUUUUUGAGGUUCAUCUAAAGACCGAGGUGCUCUCCGAAUUUAUAACUACAAUGUAUUUUUAAGGGUUUUGCAGAAGUGGUGUUUCACAGCAUCGGACCCUACAGGCGCUUAACCGAGGACCCGUAUCGAAAAAAACUUUCAUCAGCGCCUACAGGCGCUUAACCGAGGACUCGUAUCGAAAAAAACUUGUGACUGUAAACAAUAAAUCGUCAAACAAAUUAUUCUGAAAAUACCUGGAAAAUGAAUACCAUGAAUAAUGGAGAAUGAAUGGUGAAGCUUUAUUUUCUUGAGGCCAUACUUCUGCGAAAAUUUAUCAGCGGAAGAAUUAAGCAAGGUCUUGAUGAAGUGAAUAAUCGUAGGUGAAUGGUGCGGGCAAGAAGGGAGUUUGAUUGUACAUCGUAGACCAACGAUAAGGUGGAAACGAUUGUUUAGGAACUUAGUCGCGAUCGAGAAAAUAAAGCAACAAAUACAAUCCACUUGUUCGUUCGACAACCAAAGCACACACUUUACCUGAGUCUAGUAAUGACUAAGGAAUAUCCAAAAUUGGCUUUCCGUGAGCCAUGUAGUGCCUUUCUUGGGACACGACUGGUGGGCGAGUAUUGUGUUCUAGUUAAUCGAUAAUGGCAUAUGUUCGGUGUAUAUGGCUGUUCGUAAGCUGCCAAAGCGUUAAUAAAACUCAUUAGAAUUAGCCCA
This 2735-nucleotide long non-coding RNA is filed under the name Varroa destructor (honeybee mite). RNAcentral's name for it is "uncharacterized LOC111247241, transcript variant X4". Lineage: Eukaryota; Metazoa; Arthropoda; Arachnida; Mesostigmata; Varroidae. The record is from RNAcentral.